Molecule: long non-coding RNA, 2206 nt
Filed under: Homo sapiens (human)
Lineage: Eukaryota; Metazoa; Chordata; Mammalia; Primates; Hominidae
Description: HSALNT0063121
Source: RNAcentral
GGCUACACCUCAAAUACGGAUUGAAUUUUCGCAUGAGUUUUGAGGGACACCCAUUCAAAGCAUAGCACCCUUCGGCUUCAGAGAAGCUCCAGCCCUGUUGUCACCAAGCAGGUUCCCCCUAGGCAGAGCGCCAAGAAGCAGCCCAGGCGAUCCCAAGGCGCACAAGUGCUCUCACCAGGCUGCGCGCUGGCGGGUCGGUGCACAGGGACGGGGUCGCCGCCCACGCGCGCUUGGUUCAGGGAGCCCAGGCUGUCCCUACCCGCGGCUACAAAAGCUCGCCGAGUCUUCCUGUCCACCCAAUCGCCCCACAUGUCAGCGGUUGGUCGCCUCGCGGUGCAGUGCUGGGCACGCGAGCCCCUCCCGCAGUCAUUCUCAGCACAAGCACCAGCCUGGAGCCCCGCAGCGACAGAGCUGAGAGCCCCCAAGCCGCAGAGGUCGUGCGGAGCAGGUUGCAAAUGUCUUAGAAACACACUCCUGGACCACAGCUUCAAGAGACGCAAGCAGUCACCUCAUCUGCUGGUUUCCAAGCUGCCCUGCCAGAAGCAGGUCAGGGGUCCCACAGGGGUCCUCAGUAACUCCUCAAAAUCCUCUCCCAUCAAUGGCCCCACCAGAUCAUCCCUACUUUUGAAUGCUUGUCCAAUGCAGGUUCCAGAUUUGAUUAAGUGAAACAAAGCCCCAGCUGCUGGAGCAGAGGUUCCACUUGGGUUCCACAGACACCCACAGCCCAAAUCCCUGGAGGCCUAAGGCAAUAGCUAAUUGAGACUAUGCAUCACUAUUAAGGCAUCUUCACUAAAGGGCGCUGUGGAAACGCUGCCUGAGAUGCAGACACCUGUCAGAAGGGGGCUAAAUUUCAAACAAGGAACGUGGUGUUGCAUCACAAUAAAAAGAGGAGACCAAUGGGGAGCAUUGGAAUGAUUUGGUUGCAAGCAUACUACACUACUUGUAAACUGCAGACACAGGCUUAAAAAAAGUGAAAAACUAACCAUGCAAUAAAGAAUGGAAUGAACCAUGAAGCUGUUUCUGUGGCCAGUCAUGUUUUUGAAGCAUAUCCCAUGCUAAUUUCUAGAACAGAAGAAACACACGUGUUCUUGUGUGUAAACCCAGUCCAUGGAAGAGACCGUCUGCUUGUCCCUCCUGAUCUCUGGGCCCAGACAACCAGUAGUCACCAUUCCAAGUGAGGGGUGGCUGCAACUCUACAGCCCCGUUCGUCUCUCCUCACUGUCAAAGCUGCUGAGACCCCAGACUCGACACUUGAAAGAAACCCAUGUCUGUGAAGCACUUGUGGACCAUUCAAGAUUGUGGAAGAAUCACUCAAGAGAAGGAGAUAGGUGAUGGGAUCUAGCUUCUGAUGGUUUCUAUUUUAUUGAAUGUCUAAUAGGGCAAGAAUUUGAAAAACGAGAAUGUUUGCCAUGCAGGAGGACCUGGGAAGGAGAUAACACAUUUACAGGGAGAAAGAUUGGGAUUCAGUUGGGAGGAGUAACUGAGGAAAGGGGUCACUCAAAAUAUUUUGUAUUUUAGGUCCUUUUUCUAUUAAGGAGGAAUGGAUUAUCAAAGCCUUAACAUUAAAUUGUAUUGUGUCAGGUGAAUUGCUAUGGUUUGAAUGUGGUGUGUCCCCCUCCCAAACUCACAUUGAAUUUUUUUUUUUUUUUUUGAGACGGAGUCUCGCUCUGUUGCCCAGGCUGGAGUGCAGUGGUGCGAUCUUGGCUCACUACAAGCUCUGCCUCCCGGGUUCAAGAGAUUCUCCUGCCUCAGCCUCCCGAGUAGCUGGGAUUACAGAUGUUCGUCACCACACCUGGCUAAUUUUUGUAUUUUUAAUAGAGAUGGGGUUUCACUAUGUUGGCUAGGCUGGUCUCAAACUCCCGACAUCAGGUGAUCCACCCACCUCGGCCUCCCAAAGUGCUGGGAUUAGAGGAGUGAGCCACUGCACCCAGCCUCACGUUGAGGUUUAAUUGCCAUUGUAACAGUAUAAAGAUGUGGGACCUUUACGAGGUGAUUAGGCAAUGAGGACUCUGCCCUCAUGAAUGGAUUAAUGCUGUUAUCAUGGGAGUGGAUUCCUUAUAAAGGGACACGUUCAGCACCCCCUUGCUCUCUCUCUCACCUUCCGCCAUAUGAUGAUGGGGCACAAAGGCCAUCAUCAGAUGUUGGCCCCUUGUUCUCGAACUUCCCAACCUCCAGAGCAGUAAAAAAAUAAAUCACUGUUCUUUAC